AUAUCAAUAAGCGGAGGAAAAGAAACCAACAGGGAUUGCCCUAGUAACGGCGAGUGAAGCGGCAACAGCUCAAAUUUGAAAUCUGGCUCUUUUAGGGUCCGAGUUGUAAUUUGCAGAGGGCGCUUUGGCGUUGGCAGCGGUCCAAGUUCUUUGGAACAGGACGUCACAGAGGGUGAGAAUCCCGUACGUGGUCGCUAGCCUUCGCCGUGUAAAGCCCCUUCGACGAGUCGAGUUGUUUGGGAAUGCAGCUCUAAAUGGGAGGUAAAUUUCUUCUAAAGCUAAAUACUGGCCAGAGACCGAUAGCGCACAAGUAGAGUGAUCGAAAGAUGAAAAGCACUUUGGAAAGAGAGUCAAAUAGCACGUGAAAUUGUUGAAAGGGAAGCGCUUGCAGCCAGACUUGCCUGUAGUUGCUUAUCUAGACUUUUGUCUAGUGCACUCUUCUGCGGGCAGGCCAGCAUCAGUUUAGGCGGUUGGAUAAAGGUCUCUAUCACGUACCUCCCUUCGGGGUUGGCCUUAUAGGGGAGACGACAUGCAGCCAGCCUGAACUGAGGUCCGCGCAUCUGCUAGGAUGCUGGCGUAAUGGCUGUAAGCGG
RNAcentral lists this ribosomal RNA (593 nucleotides) under Phoma sp. ATCC MYA-3200. RNAcentral's name for it is "eukaryotic LSU rRNA". It matches the Rfam family "Eukaryotic large subunit ribosomal RNA", at positions 40 to 647 of the family's 3401-position model. The record is from RNAcentral. Lineage: Eukaryota; Fungi; Ascomycota; Dothideomycetes; Pleosporales; Didymellaceae.